This 2431-nucleotide unclassified non-coding RNA is filed under the name Pectinophora gossypiella (pink bollworm). Its description in RNAcentral is "sodium-independent sulfate anion transporter-like". The record is from RNAcentral. Lineage: Eukaryota; Metazoa; Arthropoda; Insecta; Lepidoptera; Gelechiidae.
GCAGAGCGAAAGUGAAUGUUUACUUCCUGAAAUUGCACCGAAUUAUCGAUUUUUCUAUUAAAAGUGAUGUGUUUGAAUAUAUAAAAAUGUGCCACGACUGUAUUACUACAAUAUAAAUAUUACUGUAGUGUUUUUUGGUGACCACAUUUCCUGCGAAGGUGCAUCCUGAAACAUGUCAUCGCCAUCAAAACACCGUUAUAAGAGGCAGACUUGGUGCAAGAGGCUGCUCCAUAAAAGGUUGCCAGUAACAAAAUGGCUGCCGGAAUACAACUCAGAGAAAGCAUUAGCAGAUUUCAUAGCUGGAAUCACUGUAGGUCUCACAGUCAUACCUCAAGCACUAGCGUACGCCACAUUAGCUGGAUUGCAUCCCCAGUAUGGGCUGUAUUCCUCUUUCAUGGGAUGCUUCGUUUACAUGAUAUUCGGGUCGUGUAAAGACAUCACACUGGGACCGACUGCUUUAUUAGCUCUGAUGACGUAUCAACAGAUUCAAGGCAGAAACUUCGACUACGCCGUUCUAUUGUGCUUCCUUACUGGAGUUGUCCAGCUUAUCAUGGGGAUAUUGCAUUUAGGAGUGUUGAUAGACUUCAUAUCGGUACCCGUGACUGUGGGGUUCACUUCAGCGACGUCUGUGAUAAUAGCAGUGUCCCAACUCAAAGGCCUACUGGGACUGCAGUUCAAAUCCGGAGGGUUCAUCGACACUCUUAAAAAGGUGAUAAUAAACGUGCCAAAUGCAAAACUAGCCGACAGUGUGUUGGGCGUAACAUGUAUUAUUACGUUAUUGCUAUUACGGAAAAUGAAAGACUUGAACUUGCCAGUGAGCCAGAAGGGACUGAAAAAGACUCUUUGGCUAUUAUCAACCUCGAGAAACGCCAUUAUAGUGAUAAUAUGCUCCGUAAUAGCGUUUGUGUGCGAGAAAUAUUACGCCGAGUCGCCGUUCAAAUUAACAGGCACUGUCAGACAAGGUCUUCCGUCCUGGACCGCUCCGCCUUUUGGAACUCAAAUAGAUAACAAGCCAGUGUCAUUCCUACAGAUGUGCUCGGACCUCGGCUCCUCCAUAGUCCUGGUCCCUAUCAUCGGGGUUUUGGGAAACGUGGCCAUUGCCAAGGCUUUUGCCAGCGGAGAGUCAGUAGACGCAACUCAAGAGCUGAUCACGCUAUCUUUCGCCAACAUCCUGGGGUCUUUCGUAGGCGCGAUGCCGAUCACAGGGUCAUUCUCCCGUAGUGCUGUGAACCACGCCAGCGGGGUAGCUACGCAAUUCGGGAACGUUUACACAGGAAUUCUAGUGAUAUUAGCCCUAAGUCUUCUCACUCCAUACUUCUACUUCAUUCCGAAGGCGUCGCUCGCCGCCGUCGUCAUUUGUGCUGUGAUAUUUAUGAUAGAAUAUGAAGUGGUAAAACCAAUGUGGCGGUCCCGCCGCGCCGAUCUUGUCCCGGCGUUCGCUACGUUCGCGACAUGCCUCAUCGUGGGCGUCGAGCUAGGCAUCCUUGCAGGGGUCGCUGUCAACGUCAUACUGCUGCUGUACCCCAGUGCAAGGCCCCAACUUGAUGCUGAGACAGUCACGACGAGCUCAGGCUUCAGCUAUCUCCUAGUGACGGUGGGCAACAGCCUGUACUUCCCAGGGGUGGAGUACAUCAGGCAAUAUGUGGAGAGAGCUGCCAAGAAGCAAGGCGGCUGCAGUAUGCCCGUCGUCAUCGAUUGCCGAUAUGUACUUGGCGCAGACUUCACAGCAGCGAAAGGCAUUUGCGCGUUGUCCAACUCGCUAUCAUCCCGUGGACAGCCGCUCGUCUUGCUCGCUCCGCGCGACAGUGUGACGUCAGUGUUCAGUGGAGCCGGCUCCAGUGUCGUCAUCGUGCUCUCUGCGAGCGAUCUCGACACCACACUACAAGAUCUCACGGGACAAAUUGCCCUGCCAGUACUAAAUAGCAAAGGUAACGGCACACCGCCCCCAACUUACGACUCGUUACAACAACUCGACGACGUACCAGAAGUCGUCAUAGCCGAGGAACCGAACAGGCAGCCUCUGCUGAACCAUAGCUGUAAAAAUGGACUGUCAAAAUCUCUCUCGACCGAGAGUAAAUUAAACAUUAAAAACAUUGGUCGUGGGUGAAUUAUUUUUUACGAAAUGGCAACGCUGGGUGGAAUGACGUCAGCUAGAAUGUUACAACAACAACUUUGAAGUGUUAGCUGUCACUUUUGAGCAUACCUGGUUUUCUUAUACCAUGAUAGCUUAUCGACAGUUUGCUGGUGGAACAUGGGCUUGGAUGCAGAGAGCAGCUUCUCAGACACCACGUGGGCGAUCCUGGCGCUACGUCGCCACACCAGCUCCCUGGUACGCUCGUGGUUACUGUCAACGCGAACCUGGACAAAAUGCAAUAAAUCUCACGGUACAAAUUGUUCUACCCGUACUAAACAGUAAUAGUACUCCCAACGU